UUACUGGCUUUUUUUCGUAACCUGAGGGAUAAUGGAAUUGCCAGCUUGCUGGCUAUGACGAUAAACGCGCUGCGGAAUAGGCGAGACGGACCCGGGGGCGGUACCCGGCGGCUCCACCACUUUAAAGCGAUGAAGGCCUGAAAAUGGCCUUUCCGGUUAAGGGGCCGAAACAGGAUCGACGUGCGUAAUAAAGGCGGUUGCUUUCGUCCGGCAUGGUAUCCACCGUUAUCGGGCUAAAAACUAUAAAUGCUAACGACAACAGCCCAGCAAUGGGCCAACUUCGUCUCGUCGCUUAAUCGCGGCCUGACAAGUUAGCAAUCCAAUCCCUCUUCUAGUGAUAGAGGAGGUGGGGCGCGGGGGCAGGCCUAGCAACAGAACUGCCUCCAUU
RNAcentral lists this transfer-messenger RNA (388 nucleotides) under Alphaproteobacteria bacterium. It matches the Rfam family "Alphaproteobacteria transfer-messenger RNA". From Rfam's summary of the family: Bacterial tmRNA, also known as 10Sa RNA or SsrA, is named for its dual tRNA and mRNA-like properties. Lineage: Bacteria; Pseudomonadati; Pseudomonadota; Alphaproteobacteria. The record is from RNAcentral.